AAUAUCCCAGCUCUAACCCUUCCCUAGAGUAAUCAUUAUGCUGAUUCACUUACCUAUGAAUGGAAAAGAUUCUUCGAAGUUGUAGUAGCACUGUUUGAAAUACCAAUUGAGGUAAGGAUUCUUUUCAGGUAUUCUCAAAUUCUAGAAAUAUUCCCAGUUUUCAAUUAACCUUUGUGAAAGACACUGUGCACUUUAAAUAAGCAGAAGAUUUUUACUCAUCUAACUGGGAAAAAAACUCAUGAAUGUCCUUGCUUUUUCUCCAGGGCCAGCAAGCCUUCUGCUUAUGUGCAUGCAUGUAUGUAUUCAGAGAAAGCAAGAAGCGGUCAGGAGGGCUGGAAAACUGACAGCUCUCAGAAUUUUCCCAUAGGUUGGAAGACCUCCCUACUAUUUUUCCCUGUAGGAAUUCUACAGCAAUAGAAAUGGUCUCUGCAGAGGCAGUUGUUUCAUAUCUUUGGCUCAGCAAAGAAUUCUUCAACGAUUGCUUUCCAGGAACAAUGUUUUUUCUGUCUUCUAUGAAGGUUUGUUCAUAUUCUACUCUACAGUGCGGAUUGAUCACUGCUGUUUGCUAUUUACAAGCACACAAGACAGAGGAGCAUCCUUCCAAAAAUAACCAAGGGAUAGUGAAGCUUAUAUCUGCCCCAAGGAUGGAGGUCACAGCUGGAAUGGCUACACAGACAACCCUCAUGCCUGAAUCAUGUCUUAAUGCAUGUCUGUUUCCUUGGUCCUGAUGAAUCCUGGAUUUAGAAUUGCAAGAAUUCACCCAGCAGAAGAGAGUUCCUCACUCAUGUGCUAUUUGCCAAUGAGUGAAUCACCUCCAAUAGAUCUAAAUUCCAUAAUUGUAUAUGAUGGAUGCUUGAGUGUUUCGUGAGUGGGUACUGAAUAUCAGAAUCCCAUUUGGAAGCUUUGGGAAGGACCUGUAAAUGGCUGCCAUAUUACUAAACUCAUAUUUGUGUACUUUAAAGCAAUCUCAAUUACAAAGAAUGGCAUGUGAAGUACAAAGUGAUAACAGGUGGAAUGAUAAACAUUAAGGCUUAAAUCACUCAAGAUUACUAAAUAUCUGAAAUAGUAAAUUUUCUAGAGUAGGGCUGCAGAAGUUUCUAUGAAAUACAUCUUAGUGAAGCAAUUUUUUCUCUUUCAAAGGAUGUAUAGGCAUUGAUGCCCUUGUUUCCUGAAAAUGGAGCCACAAUGAUAUAUCCCUAAGAUGCUUUGAGACUAGGUAGGGAUUUAUUUGUUCUUUAUUCACUAUUUCAACCAUGGAGAGGCCCAUGGCCUGCAAACAGGUCACAGAUGAUGGAAAUCAGGAAAGACAUAUAGGAAGACAGCUGAAUAAGUCAAGAUGGAGUCCUGUCCAUACUCUCAAAAAUAAUGGAAGUAAGACUGCAGUCUCAAAAAUAAAUGCUUCUACAGCCCAUGGUUAGGUCAGCCUCAACUAGUAGAUGUCUUCUCAUACUGAGACCAGUUUCUUGUGCCAACCACCAUUUGAGAUGCUCUGUUGUAAUUUCACCCUCUUCCCCACUUUCAAAGUAGAGGCACUUUCUCUGUAAUAAUUCACAUUCAUUCUUUCAUAUCUGUGAGGCACUAUUCAUAUAUUAUGUCUGUUCUUCUACCAUUGUUUUCAGAAAAUGGGAAUAAUAGCAAUGAAAUAGAAGCUUCUUUAUUAUUUUGGAUCUCAUAAAGGAACUCCUUCAUUCCAGAUCUGUGUGAAAAGCCAAGUUAUCACUAGAUUCAGAGACCUGAAUUUACCUUGUUCACAGUCAUAGACAGUCAGCGGAUCCUUUCAAAUAUAUUUUAAAAACUGAAAAGGGUGAGAACUAUGUUGAUGUGCUUGCUAAUUUCACAGAAUUUUCCUAGUUAUUUUAGCUUUUACACAAUUCUAAAUAAACAGAGAGAAGGGGUUGGAUCUAGGAACACAGUUAUGUGGUUUCACAAAUGAUGCAAGUCUCAGAUACUAUUUGUCUAUCUUAAAAUUAACCUCCUGGGAAACAGUUAAGAAUAAUGAAAUGGUUCAGAUGGCAGGAUGAAGUUUCAAGAAAUAAGUGAAUUUGCCAUAAAUAUUCAUAAUCGUGUUAGUUUCACUUUUUAAACAAUUUCUAAGAUGUUAGCUUGCUCCAGUGUAACUGCUGGUUAAAUCAAAGGUACAGAGGUUAGGUUAUACCUCCUCCGUUAAUGAUUUGUCUCAAUGCACACAACACUAUAAUGUAUUUUAUGAGUAAGGGAAAUGAUAUUGGUUUGAGAGGUCUCAUGUAGCAGUCAUAUCCUGUUCAAAUAUAAUUUUGAAAACAAUCAGAACCAUUAUGGCUCAUCCAGAAAGAAUGAUAAAGACAGAUAGCUGUAUAUGGGUUUUUAAUAAGUAAUUCACCCUGGGUCUUGAGACAUCAGUUUGCCAAGUAAUGCUAUUAAUGUAUAAGCAUGUUGGUAAAAUCGUGUAUUCUUUCCAUUGGUUAGCUUUAGAUAUGUUUCCAAUGCAAAUAUUGUGUCAAUGUAUUGAAUCCAAGUUUUGCAAAUCCAGACUGUAAUUCAUCUUUCAAGAAUGUGACUUGAUUAUUUCACAUGCCAAAGGAGCAUUAUUCUGGCAACAGUCUACUGACUAUUUAUAGCUCACAUUUCCACAGGGGGAAUUAUGCAUCUUCUGCUGAAUAUUGGAUAUUUAUUGUUGAACAUAUUGAUCACCUCUCAGCUUUUGUGGCUAGUGUCUUGUGAAAGUUUUUAUUUGUAAUGAAAAUGCACAGCAAGAGAGUUGAUAUUAUUGAGCUGUCUUUUUUUCUCAGAGAGAAGUAUGUGCUUUGAGAAAUGAGAACCUAAGCUGAGGCUUAAAAAUAAAACAUCUUAUAUCCAGAAUGCUUGACCAUCCAUCAUGUUGCUGGAGCAGAUUUUAAAGACACUCAAGCCUCCAUCUGGUCUGAACUCCACUCCUCCUGUUCACUAAAACAGAGAGUAACUGAGAUAUGGCAGGCCUUCAUCUGAACACUGAAGAUCCACUUUGGAACUUGGUUGUGGCUGUUUUCAUAUUUAGUACCUACUUAAUUUAGACUGUGCAUUAUCUUCAAACUACAUAAAUAAAUUUUAUACACCACAUGUGUAUGUGUGUGUUUCAUUGUGGAAUUGCAAGCACUUCUCAAGUACUUUUUGUU
This 3131-nucleotide long non-coding RNA is filed under the name Cricetulus griseus (Chinese hamster). RNAcentral describes it as "lncRNA (ENSCGRG00000026223.1)". The record is from RNAcentral. Lineage: Eukaryota; Metazoa; Chordata; Mammalia; Rodentia; Cricetidae.